UAAUGACCCUAGCAGUUACAGAGGUGAACCCCAUAUUGAUAGUAUUAAUUGUCGAUGGUGAUAAAAAUGGAUUUUGUGAUCCUAUGUAUAAGGUGACAAUUUGUAUGUAGAUUGUCUUUAAUAUGCUGAAAAGCGAAAUGGCUUUAUAAAUCCCAAUAAACAGACCUGUGUACUGUGAUAGCUACAAGUUUAAUCACACCAAUAGACAGUUUUAGAAUUAUUGCAACUCCAUCUCUCUCUCUCAUACUCCUUUCUCUAUUUUGUAGACAACUGUAUCAAGUGCCAGUGGGUUGUACGACCUCGACAGGAAGCUAUACAGUGUGAGCAUUGUGAACGUUGGCAACACCGAACAUGUAAUUCAGGAAUCACUAGACAACGGUAUCGGGAACUGGCUAGACAACGGGAGAGUUUUGAGUGGACAUGUGCUGACUGCAGCGGAACUACAGAGGCAGCAGCAGUUGAUGAAUCAGCAGAAACAGUUGCAGAUGAACCUGUCAAUGCCACCUUCCGCCUAUCCCUGUCUG
Molecule: long non-coding RNA, 524 nt
Organism: Ostrea edulis (European flat oyster)
Lineage: Eukaryota; Metazoa; Mollusca; Bivalvia; Ostreida; Ostreidae
Exons: 3
Source: RefSeq, a predicted model, not a curated record